Molecule: ribosomal RNA, 484 nt
Filed under: uncultured bacterium
Lineage: Bacteria
Description: partial 16S ribosomal RNA
Rfam family: Bacterial small subunit ribosomal RNA
Source: RNAcentral
AUUGAACGCUGGCGGCAGGCCUAACACAUGCAAGUCGAGCGGAUGAAGGGAGCUUGCUCCUGGAUUCAGCGGCGGACGGGUGAGUAAUGCCUAGGAAUCUGCCUGGUAGUGGGGGAUAACGUCCGGAAACGGGCGCUAAUACCGCAUACGUCCUGAGGGAGAAAGUGGGGGAUCUUCGGGCCUCACGCUAUCAGAUGAGCCUAGGUCGGAUUAGCUAGUUGGUGGGGUAAAGGCCUACCAAGGCGACGAUCCGUAACUGGUCUGAGAGGAUGAUCAGUCACACUGGAACUGAGACACGGUCCAGACUCCUACGGGAGGCAGCAGUGGGGAAUAUUGGACGAUGGGCGAAAGCCUGAUCCAGCCAUGCCGCGUGUGUGAAGAAGGUCUUCGGAUUGUAAAGCACUUUAAGUUGGGAGGAAGGGCAGUAAGUUAAUACCUUGCUGUUUUGACGUUACCAACAGAAUAAGCACCGGCUAACUUCGUG